RNAcentral lists this transfer RNA (63 nucleotides) under Anthocephalum grabatum. RNAcentral's name for it is "Alveobothrium grabatum tRNA-Trp". The record is from RNAcentral. Lineage: Eukaryota; Metazoa; Platyhelminthes; Cestoda; Rhinebothriidea; Anthocephaliidae.
GCGAGAUUAAGUUAAUUGAGACUGGUUGUUUUCAAAACAAUUAGUGGCUUUGGCCAUCUUGCG